UACGUAGGGUGCGAGCGUUGUCCGGAAUUACUGGGCGUAAAGAGCUCGUAGGUGGUUUGUCGCGUUGUUCGUGAAAACUCACAGCUCAACUGUGGGCGUGCGGGCGAUACGGGCAGACUGGAGUACUGCAGGGGAGACUGGAAUUCCUGGUGUAGCGGCGGAAUGCGCAGAUAUCAGGAGGAACACCGGUGGCGAAGGCGGGUCUCUGGGCAGUAACUGACGCUGAGGAGCGAAAGCGUGGGGAGCGAACAGG
This 253-nucleotide ribosomal RNA is filed under the name uncultured bacterium. RNAcentral describes it as "partial 16S ribosomal RNA". It matches the Rfam family "Bacterial small subunit ribosomal RNA", at positions 524 to 776 of the family's 1533-position model. The record is from RNAcentral.